AUGUCGCCGCAGCCGAGCCGGCGGAGCAGCCGGAAGUCCCCCAUCCCGAGGGGCCCGUCCCGCGCGCGCGCCGCCAGGACGGCCUUCCACCUAGGGUCGCCCCCCUUGUGGGGCUUCCCGCCCGCGCCGCCGCUCCCGCCGGCGCCGGCCGUGCCGUUGCUCCAGUCGCUGGCCGCGCUGCUGCUGACGCUGGUCUUGGCGCUCCGGCUCGUGACGGUGCCGCUGGGCGCCAUGCUGGUGCAGGUGGUCGUGACCGCCCCGCCGCCGGAGGAGCUGUCGCCCAUGCUGCUGUGCGGGCUCGCGGCGGCGCUCACCGGCGGGGACGCGUCCCACACGAUCACCGGCUUGGCCGCCGCCGCCGGCGGCGGCGCCUUCUUGUCGCCCCGCCCGUGGUCCACGGCGACGAGCACGUGGUCCAUCUCGUCGACCGGCUCCGGCGGGUGGCUGGCCCCGGAGAAGGAGCUCCUCGGCGGCGCCCCGUCGUCGUCCUCCUCCUCCUCCUCGCUGGACGCAAUGCUGAGCCUCACCUUGUCGAACCCAGCAAGGACCUCCUCCUUGUCCUUCGCGGCCGCCGGCUUGGCGCCGGCGUCCAUGUGGAAGCGGAAGGCGUCGGGAAGGAAGUCGAAGCGGAACUCGAAGUCGUGGGCGGGAUCCGGGCGCACCUGCGCGAGCUGGGAGCGGGAGCGCGCGUGGCCCGGGGCUGACCUCGGCGGCUUGGCGUGCGGUGGAGGGCGAGAUGACUGCAUCGCUCGCUCCUUGGCCUGGUCCUUGCGAGUAAUGGAGGUGGUGUGGUGUAGUAACGGGAGGAUGACAAAAGAGGUUGGGGGAGGGGGAAGGGGACACAAUCACACAACUGCCGGGCCGCGCGUAAUUCGUAGCGGGGAGAGCGCGUCUUCUUCUCCUUCUCUCUCUCUUGUGUGCUGCGGAGACAAUGAUGGCAGGGCAGAGCGGGCGAGGCAGUAG
RNAcentral lists this ribosomal RNA (963 nucleotides) under Triticum aestivum (bread wheat). RNAcentral describes it as "partial small subunit ribosomal RNA". The record is from RNAcentral. Lineage: Eukaryota; Viridiplantae; Streptophyta; Magnoliopsida; Poales; Poaceae.